GACGGUAACAGCCCGGUAGUUGAAAUGGCUUUCCCUCCAGAGUGGAUCCUGAGUACGGCGGAACACGUGAAAUUCCGUCGGAAUCCGGGAGGACCAUCUCCCAAGGCUAAAUACUCCCUAGUGACCGAUAGUGAACCAGUACCGUGAGGGAAAGGUGAAAAGCACCCCGGAAGGGGAGUGAAACAGUUCCUGAAACCGUGUGCCUACAAGUAGUUAGAGCCCGUUAAUGGGUGAUAGCGUGCCUUUUGUAGAAUGAACCGGCGAGUUACGAUUUGUUGCAAGGUUAAGCGGAAAAAGCGGAGCCGUAGCGAAAGCGAGUCUGAAUAGGGCGCAUAAGUAACAGGUCGUAGACCCGAAACCAGGUGAUCUACCCAUGUCCAGGAUGAAGGUAAGGUAAUACUUACUGGAGGUCCGAACCCACGCACGUUGAAAAGUGCGGGGAUGAGGUGUGGGUAGCGGAGAAAUUCCAAUCGAACUUGGAGAUAGCUGGUUCUCUCCGAAAUAGCUUUAGGGCUAGCCUCGAGGUAAAGAGUCAUGGAGGUAGAGCACUGUUUGGACUAGGGGCCCUUCUCGGGUUACCGAAUUCAGAUAAACUCCGAAUGCCAUGUACUUAUACUCGGGAGUCAGACUGCGAGUGAUAAGAUCCGUAGUCGAAAGGGAAACAGCCCAGACCACCAGUUAAGGUCCCCAAAUAUAUGUUAAGUGGAAAAGGAUGUGGGGUUGCUUAGACAACCAGGAUGUUGGCUUAGAAGCAGCCACCAUUGAAAGAGUGCGUAAUAGCUCACUGGUCGAGUGACCCCGCGCCGAAAAUGUACCGGGGCUAAACAUAUUACCGAAACUGUGGAUGAACCUCUUUAGAGGUUCGUGGUAGGAGAGCGUUCUAAGGGCGGUGAAGUCAGACCGGAAGGACUGGUGGAGCGCUUAGAAGUGAGAAUGCCGGUAUGAGUAGCGAAAGAAGGGUGAGAAUCCCUUCCACCGAAUAUCUAAGGUUUCCUGAGGAAGGCUCGUCCGCUCAGGGUUAGUCGGGACCUAAGCCGAGGCCGAUAGGCGUAGGCGAUGGACAACAGGUAGAGAUUCCUGUACCAGUGCUAAUUGUUUAACCGAUGGGGUGACACAGAAGGAUAGGGAAUCGCACGAAUGGAAAUGUGCGUCCAAGCAGUGAGUGUGAGAAGUAGGCAAAUCCGCUUCUCGCGAAGCAUGAGCUGUGAUGGGGAAGGAAAUUAAGUACGGAAGUUCCUGAUUUCACGCUGUCAAGAAAAGCCUCUAGGAAGAGUAGUACUGCCCGUACCGCAAACCGACACAGGUAGAUGAGGAGAGAAUCCUAAGGUGAGCGAGAGAACUCUCGUUAAGGAACUCGGCAAAAUGACCCCGUAACUUCGGGAGAAGGGGUGCUCUAUUAGGGUGCAAGCCCGAGAGAGCCGCAGUGAAUAGGCCCAGGCGACUGUUUAGCAAAAACACAGGUCUCUGCAAAACCGUAAGGUGACGUAUAGGGGCUGACGCCUGCCCGGUGCUGGAAGGUUAAGAGGAGUGCUUAGCUUCGGCGAAGGUACGAAUUGAAGCCCCAGUAAACGGCGGCCGUAACUAUAACGGUCCUAAGGUAGCGAAAUUCCUUGUCGGGUAAGUUCCGACCCGCACGAAAGGCGCAACGAUCUGGGCACUGUCUCAACGAGAGACUCGGUGAAAUUAUAGUACCUGUGAAGAUGCAGGUUACCCGCGACAGGACGGAAAGACCCC
This 1734-nucleotide ribosomal RNA is filed under the name Listeria monocytogenes. RNAcentral's name for it is "partial 23S ribosomal RNA". It matches the Rfam family "Bacterial large subunit ribosomal RNA", at positions 360 to 2092 of the family's 2925-position model. The record is from RNAcentral. Lineage: Bacteria; Bacillati; Bacillota; Bacilli; Caryophanales; Listeriaceae.